RNAcentral lists this ribosomal RNA (500 nucleotides) under uncultured bacterium. Its description in RNAcentral is "partial 16S ribosomal RNA". It matches the Rfam family "Bacterial small subunit ribosomal RNA", at positions 30 to 523 of the family's 1533-position model. The record is from RNAcentral.
AUUGAACGCUGGCGGCAUGCCUUACACAUGCAAGUCGAACGGCAGCACGGGAGCAAUCCUGGUGGCGAGUGGCGAAUGGGUGAGUAAUAUAUCGGAACGUGCCCAGUCGUGGGGGAUAACGUAGCGAAAGCUACGCUAAUACCGCAUACGAUCUAUGGAUGAAAGCGGGGGAUCGCAAGACCUCGCGCGAUUGGAGCGGCCGAUAUCAGAUUAGGUAGUUGGUGAGGUAAAGGCUCGCCAAGCCGACGAUCUGUAGCUGGUCUGAGAGGACGACCAGCCACACUGGGACUGAGACACGGCCCAGACUCCUACGGGAGGCAGCAGUGGGGAAUUUUGGACAAUGGGCGCAAGCCUGAUCCAGCAAUGCCGCGUGCAGGAUGAAGGCCUUCGGGUUGUAAACUGCUUUUGUACGGAACGAAACGGCGAGCUCUAAUACAGUUUGCUAAUGACGGUACCGUAAGAAUAAGCACCGGCUAACUACGUGCCAGCCGCCGCGGUAA